AACGAAGCGGCUGCAGGGAUUCCCCUCGGGGAGGAACAGUAGCUGUCUGAGUGGCGGACGGGUGAGUAACGCGUGGGCAACCUGCCCCAUACCGGGGGAUAACAGCCGGAAACGGCUGCUAAUACCGCAUACGCCCAGGAGGCUGCAUAGCUUCCUGGGGAAAACUCCGGUGGUAUGGGAUGGGCCCGCGUCUAAUUAGCUCGUUGGCGGGGUAACGGCCCACCAAGGCGACGAUCAGUAGCCGGCCUGAGAGGGCGGCCGGCCACAUUGGGACUGAGACACGGCCCAGACUCCUGCGGGAGGCAGCAGUGGGGAAUAUUGCACAAUGGGGGAAACCCUGAUGCAGCGACGCCGCGUGAGCGAUGAAGUAUCUCGGUAUGUAAAGCUCUAUCAGCAGGGAAGAAAGAAACAAUACCUGACUAAGAAGCCCCGGCUAACUACGUGCCAGCAGCCGCGGUAAUACGUAGGGGGCAAGCGUUAUCCGGAUUCACUGGGCGUAAAGGGAGCGCAGGCGGCACGGCAAGUCUGGUGUGAAAACCCGGGGUUCAACCCCGGGACUGCAUUGGAAACUGCCGGGCUGGAGUGUCGGAGGGGUAAGCGGAAUUCCUAGUGUAGCGGUGAAAUGCGUAGAUAUU
Molecule: ribosomal RNA, 635 nt
Filed under: uncultured bacterium
Lineage: Bacteria
Description: bacterial SSU rRNA
Rfam family: Bacterial small subunit ribosomal RNA
Source: RNAcentral